GCAGUUAUGGCCGAGUGGUUAAGGCGAUGGACUUGAAAUCCAUUGGGAUAAUCUCGCUUAGGUUCGAAACCUACCAACUGCG
Molecule: non-coding RNA, 82 nt
Organism: Limulus polyphemus (Atlantic horseshoe crab)
Lineage: Eukaryota; Metazoa; Arthropoda; Merostomata; Xiphosura; Limulidae
Source: the annotation of a RefSeq genome assembly